AAAAAGUACAAGAAGGAAGCCCUUCAAAAGAAAUUUUGCGACCUAAAACGCCUUCACCCUGAACUUGUGAAAGAGUAUAGUCAGCGAUUACGCCCAGGUAUUCCUGUUCCUUGUC
Long non-coding RNA from Bufo bufo (common toad), 115 nucleotides. RefSeq lists it as uncharacterized. The transcript has 3 exons. Lineage: Eukaryota; Metazoa; Chordata; Amphibia; Anura; Bufonidae. The record is from RefSeq and is a predicted model, not a curated record.